This 253-nucleotide ribosomal RNA is filed under the name uncultured bacterium. RNAcentral describes it as "partial 16S ribosomal RNA". It matches the Rfam family "Bacterial small subunit ribosomal RNA", at positions 524 to 776 of the family's 1533-position model. The record is from RNAcentral.
UACGAAGGGGGCUAGCGUUGCUCGGAAUUAUUGGGUUUAAAGGGUGCGUAGGCGGCCUUAUAAGUCAGUGCUGAAAUAUCCCGGCUUAACCGGGAGGGUGGCAUUGAUACUGUAGGGCUUGAGUGUAGUCGAGGUAGGCGGAAUUGACGGUGUAGCGGUGAAAUGCUUAGAUAUCGUCAAGAACACCGAUAGUGUAGACAGCUUACUAGGCUACAACUGACGCUGAGGCACGAAAGUGUGGGGAUCAAACAGG